This is a long non-coding RNA of Melanotaenia boesemani (Boeseman's rainbowfish), 804 nucleotides long. RefSeq lists it as uncharacterized. NCBI's taxonomy places the organism in Eukaryota, Metazoa, Chordata, Actinopteri, Atheriniformes, Melanotaeniidae. The transcript is spliced from 7 exons. The record is from RefSeq and is a predicted model, not a curated record.
CAUCUGCAAUUGCUGGUUGUUCAUCCUACUCUUUAUAACUAAGACACCAGGGCGCAGAUGGGUUACUGCUGUCUCCUCUUGCUGAGUCUCCCUGGGUCACGAUCGGACCCACCUCCUUCGCCAUAUCCACAUUAGCAGCAUCAUGAAGAUGAGGCGUCUUGGAUUUGCUCUCUUGGUUUGUAUUCCUUUAGUGUUGCAUGGAAGUUCAACUAUUUCCUUUCCAGAUGAGGAAGAUUCUACUCUUGUUAUCACAACAAUUGAUAGAUGCGGAGAUUACCCUGUAGUUAAGAAUGGUGAUGUUUUUCAAAAUGGCAGACAUUCCUUAACGUAUCUGUGCUCACCUACUUAUAUACUUGAGGGUCCAGAGACAGUGUUUUGUUACAGCAACAGGCAGUGGUCUGAAGUGCCCACCUGUAAAGCUAACUACUGCUCUGUGAACACUGAUGAAUAUCCCCAAAUAAAUGAUGAUGGAAUCAGAUUCAUAACAAACGGUGACACAAUGAUGCUGGAUUGUAAGGAUACCUUUUGGUUUCCCAAUUAUGCUUUGGUGGAAUGCAGUAAUGGAAUACCAAGGAUAUCAAAAUGUUGUAACAUGGGCCAAAUAAACAUGGGUUUGUGCUGGAUUCGGGGUGAGAUGAUGAACUGAAAAAAAAUAUCAGUGUGGAAGAUUUCAAGAAGACUUAUGAUCAUACUGUCAACAACUUCAGUGAUACUGUGCCGACUUGUCUGUGUUCAAAGCUGAAAAAUAUGAACCAACUUAAAAAGAUGUUCCCAGUUCAAUAAAGUUUUCUGGAGGAAGUUUAA